GCUGAUGAAACAGAUCAAGAUUAUAGGAUGAAGACAAUAGCACUAGACACUAAUACUUGUUAUACAAAAUAAACAUAGUUGCUUCCUUCAUACUUGGAAUAUAAAGUUGAAGAUUAAUCAUACUAAUAUUACAACCGUUAAACAGAAACCAAAGGUAAUGUAGUAGAGUAGGUAUGCAAAAAGAUAAGGAAAUGCAACCGUUCUCAGUCAACCUACGACUUAUUCAGCAAUAGCCAUGCUUUUUUCUAGACAGGUACGCUUAUUAUGACUAGGGGUUGAGCAAAUUAUGCACGUCUUUGGUGUAACGUCUGGUGCACUAUGCUGAGAUUGGGAUACAUUGCCCUCUUCAUGAAGGUCUAUAAGUGGUAGCCCAUCGAAUAAGAUAAUUAUCCGACCAGACUUUCUAACAUCCACCAUGGCCUUCACAUUUGUGUCAUUUGUAAUUCAAUGAAGCCCCGUGACUGAGCAAGCUCCCACAUGGCAAAAACCAAUAUGGCGAGAGAUGUGUAGUGCAAUUUCUCAAAGGCCUACUGAAGUAGAUAGUAGUAUCCUGGUUUUUCGUAAUUUAGAUGCCCUACAACCCGAUUUCCUCUCCAAAAUCUGGUCUCCAAAUCGUAGUUCAUAAUAAUCUUUGUUAUCCAUGGAAUAUUGGCUAGGUAAUUGGAUCCGCAUAUAACAGAUUUAGCACAUAAGUGAAAUCGAGGAAUAAAAGCACAAUCCAGCAACAACAAAUUGUUAAUUGAACCGAAACAGGCAUGAAAAAUCCGUAACACACAUAAAUUCCCGAACAUAAAAAAUCAUAACCUUUGAAUUAGGGCCAAUAUCUAAGAUUGAAGAAAGGAGAAAUGCGUAUAUGACUUGAAAGGUGAUUUAUGGAGAUUAAGGGUAAUCGAUAAAGGUAUUGAGGAACAAAAAACCAGAAACCAGC
RNAcentral lists this long non-coding RNA (928 nucleotides) under Linum usitatissimum (flax). RNAcentral describes it as "long non-coding RNA (LUSI_LNC005864)". The record is from RNAcentral. Lineage: Eukaryota; Viridiplantae; Streptophyta; Magnoliopsida; Malpighiales; Linaceae.